This is a non-coding RNA of Cinara cedri, 313 nucleotides long. Lineage: Eukaryota; Metazoa; Arthropoda; Insecta; Hemiptera; Aphididae. The record is from the annotation of a GenBank genome assembly.
CACUAUUAAAACGCUAUUCUCUGUACCGUUACAUAAACAAUGCACCGCGCUACUCACUCCUAGCAAAACUGUCAGCAAAGUGUGUCCGUUUUUUAGAUUCUAAGAGGAGCGAUGUUGAUUUUUGUUUUAUUUUUCUGUGGAAUUUUUUCUACCAGCGAUUUUACUCGGAUUUUCAACUGUAGCACAUUUUCUGAAAAUAAAUUUGACUGGGGUAAUACUCUAAAGAAGUUAUUUUUUCGAUUCCCCCAGGAAUUUGUUCAAUAUAUGGGAAAAACCUGGGAAAACCGUAGGAAAAACGGGAAAAUGUAUACAU